RNAcentral lists this ribosomal RNA (446 nucleotides) under uncultured bacterium. Its description in RNAcentral is "partial 16S ribosomal RNA". It matches the Rfam family "Bacterial small subunit ribosomal RNA", at positions 338 to 795 of the family's 1533-position model. The record is from RNAcentral.
CCUACGGGUGGCAGCAGUCGAGAAUCAUUCACAAUGGGGGAAACCCUGAUGGUGCGACGCCGCGUGGGGGAAUGAAGGUCUUCGGAUUGUAAACCCCUGUCAUGUGGGAGCAAAUUAAAAAGAUAGUACCACAAGAGGAAGAGACGGCUAACUCUGUGCCAGCAGCCGCGGUAAUACAGAGGGCUCAAGCGUUGUUCGGAAUCACUGGGCGUAAAGCGUGCGUAGGCUGUUGCGUAAGUCGUGUGUGAAAGGCGCGGGCUCAACCCGCGGACGGCACAUGAUACUGCGAGACUAGAGUGAUGGAGGGGGAACCGGAAUUCUCGGUGUAGCAGUGAAAUGCGUAGAUAUCGAGAGGAACACUCGUGGCGAAGGCGGGUUCCUGGACAUUAACUGACGCUGAGGCACGAAGGCCAGGGGAGCGAAAGGGAUUAGAUACCCGAGUAGUC